RNAcentral lists this ribosomal RNA (825 nucleotides) under uncultured bacterium. RNAcentral describes it as "bacterial SSU rRNA". It matches the Rfam family "Bacterial small subunit ribosomal RNA", at positions 32 to 901 of the family's 1533-position model. The record is from RNAcentral.
AACGCUGGCGGUCUGCUUAACACAUGCAAGUCGAACGGGAAUCUUCGGAUUCUAGUGGCGGACGGGUGAGUAACGCGUGAGAAUCUGGCCUCAGGAUGGGGACAACAGCUGGAAACGGCUGCUAAUACCCAAUGUGCCGAGAGGUGAAACUUAUAUGGCCUGAGGAUGAGCUCGCGUCUGAUUAGCUAGUUGGUGGGGUAAGAGCCCACCAAGGCGACGAUCAGUAGCUGGUCUGAGAGGAUGAUCAGCCACACUGGGACUGAGACACGGCCCAGACUCCUACGGGAGGCAGCAGUGGGGAAUUUUCCGCAAUGGGCGAAAGCCUGACGGAGCAAGACCGCGUGGGGGAAGAAGGUUUGUGGAUUGUAAACCCCUUUUGAUUGGGAAGAUGAUGACGGUACCAAUCGAAUCAGCCUCGGCUAACUCCGUGCCAGCAGCCGCGGUAAUACGGAGGAGGCAAGCGUUAUCCGGAAUUAUUGGGCGUAAAGCGUCCGUAGGUGGUGAUUCAAGUCUUUUGUCAAAGCGUGGAGCUUAACUCCAUACGGGCAGGAGAAACUGGGUUGCUAGAGUGCGAUAGGGGCAAGGGGAAUUCCCAGUGUAGCGGUGAAAUGCGUAGAUAUUGGGAAGAACACCGGUGGCGAAAGCGCCUUGCUGGGUCUGCACUGACACUGAGGGACGAAAGCUAGGGGAGCGAAAGGGAUUAGAUACCCCUGUAGUCCUAGCUGUAAACGAUGGGUACUAGGCGUUGUCCGUAUCGACCCGGGCAGUGCCGUAGCUAACGCGUUAAGUACCCCGCCUGGGGUGUACGCUCGCAAGAGUGAAACU